UGCACUUCAUUGUUGCCGAUGUCAUUUUUCGAAGUGACUUUCUAUGGCCAGUCCUUCCUUGUCUUUUCCCGAUCCAUGAAGUGUGUACUCGGCAUGUCACAACUUCAUGCACACAUUCCUUCCUUCUAUUUGGAGGUAUAGGCUCUCACUCGAUGCCAUUCUGACUUUUCUUUACAACAUUUCUCAUCAUCUUCCUUCUUAUAUCUCCAUUG
This 212-nucleotide long non-coding RNA is filed under the name Vitis vinifera (wine grape). RNAcentral's name for it is "long non-coding RNA (VVIN_LNC001823)". The record is from RNAcentral. Lineage: Eukaryota; Viridiplantae; Streptophyta; Magnoliopsida; Vitales; Vitaceae.